UAUUGAAAGAAAAACCCAAUAAAAUAUUUGUGACUGAUGAAGAUGCUGUAUUUUUCUCUGUGGAAGGGUCAAGUCCCCCAGCCAUUCCUUCUGCUAAGAGGAACGUAGACAAUCUCUGGGAUGAUUAUAUAAUAAAACUUUAUGUUUAUCAGAAUAGUGAUGGAGGAUGAGAAGAGGGCAGAAAUGUGGCAAGCAUGGGAAUUAAAAGGUUAACAACAGUGGUAUAAUGGCUGGAGUGGAUUCCAGUCUUCAGCACUGUCUAACUAUCCUGUCAAUUUUAAGAAAAAGUUUGAAAGUAAGUUUUGGGUUUGAAGCUUCAAGAUGGCUGAUGAGAGACAUCUAUCACUCAUCUCCUCUGCAAAGGACCAAAACAGCAAGUAGAUAAUUACAUUCAAAUAGAGCUUCUAAGAGAGAACACUGGAAUUCAGUAGGGAAGUGACAGGGAACCUCUGAGGCAUUGAACAACGGGGAAGCCAAGAGGCCAGCCAGGCCAGGGCUGGCUCAGAAGGAGGAGGAAGUCACACUGUGGGGAAGAGUUAAGCAAGAGAUCUCUAGUAGUCCAUGUUUCCACCACGGACUCCCACAGUUCUAGCCACAGGAGUUCCCUGAAGCCCAUGCAGACCUUGUGACUAGUUUAGGGAUCUGCCUGGAAGGCAUGUGAUGACAUUGUGCCAGAGGGAGUUCACACUGGGUCCCACAUAUCCCCAAGCAGCUGUAGACUGGUGCCAUUUUGAGAGGUCAGCCACCAGCAGACUACAUCCUGCUAUGGGGCUGAACAGCCCAUGAAUCUUUACAUACCUAGAAUCCUGCUGACAUCCCCCCACGUCCACUCACAGGGCUUCAGUGUCGUGAUGUUGGCUGAACCUAGCGGUGUGGCCAGGUUUCCAGCACUCUAGCCAAUGCAAUCUCUUCCACCCUGGGGAUAGUCAAUUCAGUGUACCAGAGGAUUGCCCCCAGGACAAAGGGAGCCAAAGGAUGCACUCCCCAGAGCCUGAGAGCCAUCUGUACAGGGCCAAUGCCACAGAUAGCAACCUUGCUUUCUUCCAGUACCGGGCUGUUUUGCACCUAUACAUGCCUUCAGGGGACCUGGGCAGUGGCCUGGCCAGCCAGUGUCCAGGCAUACUGUCUAGGAGCCUAGUGAUUUGACCUACCUCACUCACUGAAGCCAGUGCCAUGCGACCAUCCAGGAGCCUGAGGACUAGCCUGCCCCAGUUACUACCAGCACUGCUUGUUUGUACUGUCCAGGGGCCUGGGGAUAGGCCUGCCCUGCCUGCUGGCUGCCAGCACCCACAUAUGCCUCCCAGGAACCAGCCACUCAGCCUGCCACUGCUACCACUGGUGUCCAUGUGUGCCACUUGGAUGCCCAUGGGUUGGCCCACUGCCACUACUGCCACUGCCAAUGACACAGACACAGUGUUGCCACUGUCAUCACCCAAACAUGUCACCUGGAAGCCUAAGGACCACGAUACCUAACAUGCUACUACCACCACAGGUGCCUGCGGAACAGCCCACCCUGCAUCCCUAUCCCCAGCAAAGCUUCUCCAUAGCCUCCACUAACAGCUGCAAUCUAAGCCACUGAGGAACUCAAAACAGAAACCACUGAUGCUAAUUACAGCCAAAGAAAUCACAGAGACUACACUACUCUGCCCACCCAGAAUCAAAGCUAAAGCAUUCUACCUACCAACACUAUUUAUAAAUUUAUCAGAAAAAAGUCUUUCCUAUGAAAGCCAGAGCAGAUGUCAACAUGAGGAAAUAAGAAACAUGAAAAACCAAGGAAACAUGACAACUCCAAAGGAACACAAUAAUUCUCUAGUAAUAGAUCCCAAAGAAAAUGCAAUCUAUAAAAUCCCAGGGAAAGAAUGUAGAAUGAUGAUACUUAAGAAACUCAGUGAGAGGCUUUCUGGGGGACUGGAGUCUGAGGCCGCGAGUCACUGCUUGAUCCUGGAUACAGAGGGAAGUUUCUGCACUUUUCCUGUGGAAGGAGCAAAUAUUCAGGAGCUUCUGUAUAAAAUUUGGUCCUAAUGGCAGGUAAAGAAAUUAAUGAAGACUAUCCAGUAGAAAUUCAUAAGUAUUUAUCAACAUUUGAGAAUUCCAUUGGCGCUGUGGAUGAGAUGCUGAAGACUAUGAUGUCUGUUUCUAGAAAUGAGUUGUUGCAGAAGUUGGACCCACUUGAACAAGCGAAAGUGGAUUUAGUUUCUGCCUACACAUUAAAUUCAAUGUUUUGGGUUUACUUAGCAACUCAAGGAGUUAAUCCUAAGGAACAUCCAGUAAAGCAGGAAUUGGAAAGAAUCAGAGUAUACAUGAACAGAGUCAAGGAAAUAACAGAUAAGAAAAAGGCUGGCAAGCUCGACAAAGGUGCAGCUGCACGAUUUGUAAAAAAUGCCCUCUGGGAACCAAAACCGAAAAAUGCAUUGAAAGUUGCCAAUAAAGGAAAAAGUAAAAACUAACUUUUUGGUUUUGAUGUACAUAUAUUCAAAAAGUACAUCUUCAUUUUUUGGAACUAUGCAUCAAAAAAAAAAAGUACAUCUUCUUACUGCUUUCACAAGAUAGAGGAUUAUGUGGCAAUGCAGGGUUUAAAUGUAUUCCUUAUCAAAUUCAUGUGUAAAUUUAUACUUUAAAUUUAUAACGCUAAAUACUGCCCCCCCAAGAUUGUUAUCUUUAUUGAUUUUCUUAUAGAGCACUAUGAGGUUUUUAACAUCGUGAUGUAUUUUAUAUUUAUAGUUUAUCAUAUCUUUUGACAAGACUCUUAUUUCCUUAUGUAAGUCAAUCUUGCAAGUACAUUUUAUAAGCAACUGUGAAAUUUAAGUUAAAUAUUCUUUGUAAACAUUUGUACUAUUUUAAAUGAAUAAUGACCUUAUGAAGUAUGCUAUCUGUAGGCUGAGGUUAUAAGUACAUCUGUUUUUACUGUAUGAUAUUAAGAAUGAAAUGACUUCAGUGUCCAUUUUUUUCCCUGUGUAGUUACUUCAUGUUUUCAUGAUUUUAGGAAUUGUUGCUUUUUUGAUAUUUGAAGUAUGAAAUUAAAACUUUACGGCUGUACUUUAAUUCUUGGCAUGUUGCCUCUGUGUCCCAUUUAAAAUAAAAUAUAUUCUCAUUAACUUUAGAUGGGAAAUAAGGUUGUAUGUUGGUGGAUAAAUUUUGGCAUAAUGGUUAUACCCUCUCAAUAAAGGCUGUAAAUGUUGUGUAAAAAAAAAAAAAAAAAAAAACUCAGUGAGAUACAAGGGAGUACAGA
Microcebus murinus (gray mouse lemur) is the source of this 3229-nucleotide non-coding RNA. The record is from RefSeq and is a predicted model, not a curated record. NCBI's taxonomy places the organism in Eukaryota, Metazoa, Chordata, Mammalia, Primates, Cheirogaleidae.